Long non-coding RNA from Gallus gallus (chicken), 418 nucleotides. The record is from Ensembl. NCBI's taxonomy places the organism in Eukaryota, Metazoa, Chordata, Aves, Galliformes, Phasianidae.
AUAAUCACUACUGGAUAGUCCCUGGGUCAAGCUGAGGGAACCACACACAUCAAGGGAACAGAGCUGUGCAUGUGAAAGUGUCACUAGUGCGCCAUGUGCUCACUGUCCUACCCAUACCCCCACCCUGCCCACCCAGUCCCAAAUCUGCCCUUAUGAAGAAGGCCACUGUUUGCAGACAUAUCAGCCCCUUUCGGGCCCUUUCACAGAGGUCCAGAGUUGAGGCAGCCUCCAGGUCUGUCACAGAUUGCCCACAGCUGUUGCAAGACCACGUGCUUCACAGGCCACAGGUUCUUCCUGCUUUCUAACCACAUAUGCAAAGGCCAUCUGCUCCGUUUACCACAGCUCUUGCAGGUCUGCAGCUCCUGUACACACAACAAACGUGAGGAAGGGGCUGUCAUCUCUCACCACGCUCAGAAGU